Molecule: unclassified non-coding RNA, 432 nt
Filed under: Morinda buchii
Lineage: Eukaryota; Viridiplantae; Streptophyta; Magnoliopsida; Gentianales; Rubiaceae
Description: partial external transcribed spacer
Source: RNAcentral
UAUCAAACCAGGUAGCAUUCCUCACGGACAUCGGGCCGCAAGACGUUUCCCGUCAGUGCGGCACCGAACGUCGUUCGAACGUGGCGUUUCAAGCCAAUUCGUGGGCAAACAGGGGCCGAUGACCCCAUACCCGCUGCGUUUUCUGCAUCCCGGGGGUCGAGCGAUAAUCCGUGGGCCGUGACGACCACGCUGCGCGUGGGCGUUGCGGAGCACGGAUCUCGCUUUGGGGUUCACCCGUAGCCGCACCGUGCGAACGGGCAGCGCUAGGCGAACUUGGAAACGAUUUGCCGACACAAUUCCGUCUAUUUAGGUAUGCAACACAGGAAACCGACAAACGCAGCCAAGGCUACUCGCUCUUGUGCCAACAAAUGAAACGGAACGCACGGGAGGACGUCGCUGCCCGAGCAGGGAUCCAGCAAACCCCAUACAAGA